AGUGAACGCUGGCGGUAGGCCUAAUACAUGCAAGUCGAACGGCAGCACAGUAAGAUCUUGCUCUUGGGGUUGGCGGGGGACGGGGGGGUAAGACGUGAAUAGAAUACUUCUUUUUCUGGGGGAACAUCGGGGGAAAAGUGCUGCUACUACCUCAUAUUUCGAACGGCGAAAGUCAGGGGUCAUCGGCGCUUUUGCUGUCGCUUAUAGACGUAUCCGCGUUGCAUUAGCUAGGUGGUAAGGUAAAGGCAAACCAAGGCUACGAUGCGUAUCCGACCUGAGAGGGUGAUCAGCCACACUGGAACUGAGACACGGUCCAGACUCCUACGGGAGGCAGCAGUAGGGAAUCUUCGGCAAUGGGCGCAAGCCUGAUGCAGCAAUACCGCGUGAGUGAUGAAGGCCUUCGGGUUGUAAAACCCUUUUGUUAGGAAAGAACAGCAGCGUAUUAAUCCCCGGCUGUUCUGACGGUACCCAAACAGUAAGCCACGGCUAACUUCGUG
This 497-nucleotide ribosomal RNA is filed under the name uncultured bacterium. RNAcentral describes it as "partial 16S ribosomal RNA". It matches the Rfam family "Bacterial small subunit ribosomal RNA", at positions 29 to 507 of the family's 1533-position model. The record is from RNAcentral.